GACGAACGCUGGCGGCGUGCUUAACACAUGCAAGUCGAACGGAAAGGCCCUGCUUUUGUGGGGUGCUCGAGUGGCGAACGGGUGAGUAACACGUGAGUAACCUGCCCUUGACUUUGGGAUAACUUCAGGAAACUGGGGCUAAUACCGGAUAGGAUCUCCUGCUGCAUGGUGGGGGUUGGAAAGUUUCGGCGGUUGGGGAUGGACUCGCGGCUUAUCAGCUUGUUGGUGGGGUAGUGGCUUACCAAGGAUUUGACGGGUAGCAGGCCUGAGAGGGUGAACGGCCACAAGGGGAAUGAGAGACGGCCGAGUGGCAUACGGGAGGCAGGAGUGGGGAAUAUUGCACAAUGGGCGGAAGAGUGAUGCAGGAACGCGGCGUGGGGGAUGACGGCAUUAGGGGUGUAAACAGGUUUAGCAUGUGACGAAGCGUGAGUGACGGAAAUGGGUAAAGAAGCACCGGCUAACUACG
This 466-nucleotide ribosomal RNA is filed under the name uncultured bacterium. RNAcentral describes it as "partial 16S ribosomal RNA". It matches the Rfam family "Bacterial small subunit ribosomal RNA", at positions 28 to 505 of the family's 1533-position model. The record is from RNAcentral.